AACACCGACGCUGCUAGGCUAUAAUGCUUUUUAUGUCUCUUGGUUUUAGGGUUUGUCGACGUCGUCAACCCUACUGCCUCACUUCUCCCUGUGUGCCGGCAACCCUGUCUCCCGCGUGCUCCUGUCGACGGUAACCCUCUCUCCAUCGUGCUCCAUUUGUCGAUAAUAUCUCUCCCUCAUGCUUUAGCCGCCAGCAACCCUCUCUCCCUCGUGCUCCAUUCGUCGAUAACCCUAUAUCCCUCGUGCUCCAACCUGCUCAAGGAUUGUAACACCGACCACCUACCAACAUUAAUUGUAUGUAGAAUUCAUUUAUAGUUUCAUCCAUCUCUCGUCAGUUGAUGCCAAACCAAUGUAUUUUGUUUAAUACAUUUUACUACAAUUCUGUGUUUGUUUGAUCAUGUAACCAUUUUAAUACAUUUUGUUUAGAGAUUAUGAUGAUCCGAACACUUAUCUAAUAAAUGUGUAAGAUAUAAUUGUGUACAAAGAAAACAAAAUCAAAAAUUAGUUAUUUACUUUAGUUUUUCGAUAAUCAGGAACAAUCAGUGUGAAGUGAAGUAAAUAACUAGUCCGAGUAUGAGACUGUUGGCCAAUUCUGCAAAAUGUUCCUAACAAUUUUUUUAUUGCAGAUGAUGAACUUCAAUGAAGUGCUCGACAAGGCCAUUGACAUCAUGCAACGUGCCACGAAGAAUAACAUGGGUAUCGGCAAGAACAAAUUCCUCCCUGAGAAGCCACCCCUGUUUGUUUCGGAUUAUAAUCUAUCUAGAUUAUAUAAUCUAGCGCAAAUAAUCCAGCAGGUAAACAAACACCUAGAUUAUGGGUUUAGAUUAUAUAAUUUAAAGCUCAGAUUAUGAUAAUCUCAUAAUCUCCUAAGAGUAGUUUAUUUGAUAUUAUUUUUGGCAAAAGACCCACUACACAUGAUUAUGUAAGUAGAAAUUACAAUAUAUGUCAUCCUUCCUUCCUCACCUCAAAUAAACAAAUAAGGGUACUGUUGUCUUUGUGAAUAAUCUACAUUUAUAUAAUCUAAACUACCAAACAACUACACGUAGAUUACAAUUUAUGUAGAUUAUAAUCUGAAUUAUAUAAUUUAGAUUAAAAUCCAGAUUAUAUAAUCUAUAAGCUGAAACAAACAGGCCCUAAGUGUAUAUGAAGUGAAUCAACUCACGUGAGGUGCUUGAAUUCACUGCAGAAGCAUUGGACAAAGACUCACGGGCUUGCCAAGAGGCAUUAGAUGCUCGCAAGGUUGAGAUCUAAGAGCACCUAUAAAUGGUGAAUAUGUGAUCUUGUAAAAAUCAAUACUAAACAACACAAACUUGGUUUAUGAAAUGUAAAGUCAAAACCAAGAUGCUAUGACUAGAGAGGGAGACAACUUCUUCACUUAAUCGUUCUUUACAAGAUGAGUGUAACACCCUAAAUUUGGGGUAUAAAAUUUCUUUCUAAGUAUCUACAAAAUUUAGGUGUUACUCUUGAAUCUCUCUCUAGCUUCUCUAUCUCUUUUUCAGUACAUUUGGCUUAAAUAGUGAGAGAUUAAUUAUUUAUUUUGCCAAAACAUAAUGAGUCAUAAAAUGUUGCAUCAUGUUGAGCUUAAAUAUUCUUUGAAUUGUUGCACAUGUUUAAAUUAGUUUGAAUUUGAAAUUUGGUUUGAAUUUAAAUUGAAAACCCUAGAGAAAAUAAAAUAGAAAAGCAAUUAGAAAUUCCUUGGAAAAAGAGAAAACCAAUUCAGCCCAAACCGGCCCAGUCCAGCCCAGCGGGGCCGUGCCCGCGCCGUCUGACAGGUGGGCUCCACCUGUGUAACAUCCCAAAAUUUAACCCCAAGGUUAGAAACCCUAAUCUCCUAACCCCCCUCUUGAUUAUUCCCUAGACUCCACCUCAUAGGACAUCCCAUCAUAUGCAUACACUAUGAUUGUUAGAAGCACCUCACAUAGAAUAUUUUUUUAGCACUUAAGAUUAUUUAGCUAAUUAUUUGUUCGAAAGAAAAGGACAUAAAAGAAAUAGAAAUAUGAAUUGGAAAUAGAAAAAGAAAAAGGAAAAUUCUUUCCCCCCUCGGCUGGGCCGUUUUCGGCCCAAUCCUUCCCUCUCUCUCCCGCGCGGCCGCGCUUCCUCCCCCCCUCGCGGCCCAAGCGGCCCAUCUCCCGCGCGCCCCCGCUCCCCUCCCUCUGCCACUGCUAGCCAGCCCCACCCGUCAGCCGCACUCGCCCUCCCUCCCUCACAACCGCUCUCUUUCUGGCAAGCGGGUCCCGCUUGUCAGCACCUUCCUCGUGCCCGUGACCAGGCUAUUGGCGCGAUCGCCACCGGUCGCCACCGCCCCGUCGUCUCGCCAUUAACUCGCUAACCAGCACAGUUGCCGCCUUGCGUCCCUGUCCCCUUGCGCCAGCCGAGCCAUCCCGUCACCACCUGCCCGAGCCAUCUCGUCGUCACCACUGUGCACCACCAUCACCGCCGUGGCGAGCUCGCUGGUGCUCGCCACCUCUCGCCCCCUUCCCCGCCCCGGGCGCCUAUAAAAGGACCACCCGAGCUCCCUCUUUCUCCACACCGGCCUCGACCACUCCCUCUCCCCUUCCCCGAGCUCGAUUGAGCCAGCGCCGUCGCGCCCUUCCUCCGCUCUGGUGAGUCCCGCCCUCCCCUCUCUGUUAAGUCCUAGUCCAAUUGUUGUUGCUCUUGAGCUUCACCGUUCCAUCACAAGCACAACACACCCAUCCCCUUCACCUAUUGCGCCCGACAACCUCGCCGGCGAUCCCACUGCCGCUGGCGCCCACCACCUCGCCGUGGAGCGACCAUCCCAAGCACCCUCCGGCCAAAUUGGCCCCACCACCAUGAUCCCCUACCCCUGCCCGUGCCUUGCCACCACUCCAUCGUCACAGAACCGGGACCCCGACGGAGAACCGCCGCGGGGCCUCACCGGCGGUCGAGCCCCAGCCGGUUCGCCCCCUCCCUCGUCCGACCACCCAACGCCGUCAGCCUCCCCUCCCUCUGGCACGUGGGCCCACGCCCACGGCGCCGUCCCCGCGUCGUUCCCCCGCUGGCGGGCCAAGUGGGCCGCCUGCCCACGCGGCCGCGCGCGCCCGCGCUCGGCUGGGCCGAAUUCUCCCCCCGGCCCAACUAGCUGAGGAAACCCCUUUUCUUUUUAUUUCUCCUUUUUCUUUUCCUAUUUUUAUAUAUAUGUAUAUAUAUUGAUAUUUUAUGCACCAAAAAUCGUCUAAAUAAAUUAUAGGGCACAAAAUAAUAAUGUCUAACAAUUGGCACACCCCACCAAGUCACCAUGAUUGAUGUACUGUUCAUUACCUAUUUUUGCUAGAAGAAGAGGGAUCCGAUCCUCCGGAAUUUGUAGCUCCAGAAGAAGGGCAGGAACCCGACCUCUCCGAAAUAGAUCUUUCGUGCCAGGAGAACUUCGACGAAGGCAAGUCCAUUCUUCCCUUGAUGCAUAAAUUACCUACUCUUUCUACCACCACCUAAGCCGAGAAUAAGGGAUGGGUCUUUUGCAUUGUGAGCAGAGAGAUAGCCCGCAUUAACAAACAUCUUUUGAGUACAAAAUGUGGGAUGAGAAAAGGGCAGUGUUUUUACUAAGCGAUGUUUCCAAAAAGUGUAUGAUGAAGGGUAUUCACCCUCAUCACCUUUUGAGCGGGAUGAUCAGGGACUCCCUGGUUUAGGGGAGGGCAUAAGGUGAUGGCUCAGCCGGGUUAGGUGUGAGUAGAAGGAUUAUCCCCUCAUAUAAGGACCGGUUUGUCAUCCUUCACUACAUGUACUCAUGAUAAGUACAACCACUCGAGGCUGUAUGGGCAAUCACUCAUUAUGAACUCGUACGGUCCAAACCCCAGGGUUAUGAUGGCUGGGGAGCACCGGGAGGAUAAGGAGGGGGAAUGUUUUGUCUGGUUUGGACAUGGCGGUUGGCCCGACUCCUUCCGGUAUUACCGUUAAGGUAAGGACGUGCGAGGAAAGAGAGAGAUUCGGCAUUCGGAUCUCACGACGGUGAGAUCGCAGAAACCGGACUAGUGGGUAAAGUGUAUCCCUCUACGCAGAGUUCAAACCUAUUCGAAUAGUCCGUGUCCACUAGAAUGGACGAGUCUGGUGUGGUAUGACAAUUAGUGGUUUAUAAACCUCCGGGAACAGGGAAAUGUGUGAGUGGGUGUGUUUUUGGAAAUGAAAACGAUGCCACGGGAGUGGGAAGCUCAGUGGUGGUUGAGUGUGAAAAUGUGCUACUUCCUUCUUUGGGAAAACCAUCAAAGUAUUGCCUUUCUCUGGGAAAAAGAAGAGUGACUUCAACUCCACCAUAUAAAGCAUGUAUUAUAUAGGUCCCUUUCUCUUUACGGGCGGGAUGGGCUUGCAGAAUACCUACUGUAUUCACCCAGAUUUAUUUAUGUUUUUCAGCAGCUGAAGACUUCUUUUCUGCUAUGCUUGAUUAAAGGGGAUUGUGU
This 4409-nucleotide long non-coding RNA is filed under the name Zea mays. RNAcentral describes it as "long non-coding RNA (ZMAY_LNC000911)". Lineage: Eukaryota; Viridiplantae; Streptophyta; Magnoliopsida; Poales; Poaceae. The record is from RNAcentral.